Molecule: long non-coding RNA, 3806 nt
Filed under: Marmota monax (woodchuck)
Lineage: Eukaryota; Metazoa; Chordata; Mammalia; Rodentia; Sciuridae
Source: RNAcentral
GUCCCCGGCGCCGCCGUGGAGCUUCGCCCGGGCCGACCGCGCCGUUUCAGCCCUGCUCGGCUUUUCCCGGCCUCGCUCGGGAGAAGGAAGGAGUUCAUCUAGCUAAAAAAAAAAAAAAAGGGAAAGAGAGAAAGGAUGAGCUGAGAGCGCGGUGGGGAGAGACUCCAGGUCCAGGCCUGGACCGGGCGCUCCUGAUCUGCCCUCCCCAGCCCUGUCCCCAGGUCUGUCCUUUGCCUGGGCUGGAUGAGUUAUGUGCUGCACUUGAGAGAUCUGCCAGCUUGGAAAGAAGUCCCCAUCUUGUCCCACCUCCCCGGAGCCUGUCCUCCGGCCCUUUGGUGGCCGGGCAGGGUGGGAACUGGGACUCUCCCACCCCCCGGAUCACGCGGGCGGGCCGUGCCUUGUGUUUGCUGUUCUUGUGCACGUCCACACGAAGUGACACCGAGCCUGUCCCCCACACGCUGGGGUGGCAGGGCUUAUUUUAAAAGGGGUAACGUGGGCUUCUCCCGGAGGCAGCAGGGGCCAUAGCUAUCCCGGUCUCCCAGGAAGUGAGAGCGUCCGCCUCUCUAUGUGCCACAGGCUUCCUUUGUUCCCCUGGUCUUCCCCGGUCUCUCUCCUUCCUGCUAGUGACUGGGCCAGGAGGUGCUCGGAGGGAGGGCCCCAAGGUGAGAAGAGAGGGGCUGGAGGGGCCUGGUGGAGUGACCUGGGCCGGAAGGCGGGUGAUUAACAACUUCCUGUAGGAGGGGACAAUCCCUGGGACAGGUCACCUUAGCCGCUGGUGGGAGCCGAGGCAGGUUAUCUUGAUAAGGUGGAAGGAAGGGCUCUGAAGGAAUCCGCAUUUCAGUCCUCCCCGUUCUCUGAUCCCCACCCUUGCCUAUCUGCCUGUCGGAUUCUGGCUUCAGAGGGGGCUCUGUCUGGACCGCCCUUGAAGGUGGAGAAUGGACCCUCUGGGAGGCCUCAAGGACAGGGUGAGGGGGAGGAGUGGCGAAAGACCCCCAAUGCGACCUCUCACUUGGGAGUUUUGUCUAGAGUCAGUCUCUGCUGGUUUUCCUACUCCAGCAAACUCAUGAUUACUAUCAUUAAUGAGAGAAAGCUAAGACCUCAACCAGACCAUUCUGUCCAGUUUCUCUCUGCAAGGUCCUUCUGAAGUGUGUCUGGAAUGAACCAGAAAGAAUACAGACGCAUGAAUUCAACAGAGGAUGUGGAACACCUGGUCAUCGCUCUGACCAGUGGGCAGUCUACCAGUGCACUCGGUUUCCUUAAAAUGCUCAAAGAGAAGGAGAAAUAAAGGGGGGAAAGCAAGGCCAAAGGCCCUCCAAGGACCCACACGGGCCUCCAGGACCCAGUGGUGUGGGAGGUUUGCUGCCGGGUUGUGGUGUACUCUAACCUACCCAGACCUGCCUCUGCUUGGGAAGCUGGCCCAAGAGGAGUCUGGGGAAGACUCACAGCAGUGUCACAUUUGAGGUGACAUUUAAUGAUAGUAUUAGACAUGGAAAAUGACAACCCCCAAAAGUAGGGGGCCCUGGGAUAAGGGAGUGAGAAGGAAAGGCCAACGUUGAGAGCACUGAUCCUUUCCCAGUCAUGAAACAAACCCUGAGGAAGAGGUGUCCAUCAAACCUAGAAAGGCAGUCUCUGGGAAGAGGCUGAAGCAUUAACCCUUCUAAAAACAAAUCCUUUCCAGAUAACAAUCACUGACCCCAGGCCCUCCUUCAGGUCCAGUACAAUAAAUUCCAGAAACUGACUACUGACCCUAGACUCCCUCCCAUUUCAAACAAACCCUAAAUUCCUAAGCACUAACACUGACUCCUUCACUGAUUGAUAGAGCAAACUCCAAAUUCCUGGGUGCCCAGAGAAAAUUGAUAUGCUCACCAGACCACCUCUCAGAAUAACCUGUAUGAGCCCAGGCCCCUUCUUUGUUUGGGGGCUCAUUUUCCACCCGGAAAGUGGGUCCCACCACAGCUCACUUCAUUCCUGCAUCCCCUGCUUCUGUGUGAAACUUGCUUUCUGAAUGAAGCGCUGAGCAGAUUUGUGAAGUUUGCGUUCAUCCUGGUCUUUUUGUGCUAACAGAUAGAGGUUCACCAGGGAAACAGGGAACGCAAACUCAGAACAGGGCGAGAGACAGGAGGUUGUUCACUGUUACAGGACGAUGUGUCACCAGACUUCUUUUCUCUCAGUGCAGCUGGUAGAGCAUUCCUCAACAUGCCGUUUCCUGUGCCACAAGACCUGACUCAGGGAAGAACACACUCUGUAGUCACCUACAGACAUUACACACAUUCUGCCCACCCAGAGAUGGACACUUCCCACUAUAAAUGGGCAGUGGACAUUCUGAGUUUUGUUAGUCAGCUUCCUGCUUCUUUGUGGGGACAAAUGGAACACACUAGUAUUAGCCUGUGGAGUAAAAGACAAACUCCUUUCAAUCACAAGACAGAAGAACAAAGGGGGAGAAAACCUACAAGGAUAAUAACUAUUCUAGAUUCCCGCGGGGAAGGAGAGCAUCGAGCUGUCCUUGCUUGUGAUUACUGGUUACUUUGCCUAAAGAGUUGCAAACCGUGUCUUCCUCGUUUCAGGGAGAAGGAUAAGCUCCUUUAGGUGUCCAGGGCAUUUCUUUUUCCCCCAGUUAGAUUUUGGUGAAUAAACUGUCCUGGCAUCUAGAACUCAUUAACAUUUUAAAGGAUAUUUUUAUCCUUCUUGCCUUGAGCCCUAAGAAUUGAAGCCAGGGCAGUUUCAAAUAAAACAAAGAAGGGUGGAGACUGAACUCCAGGCCUGCAAUUUUCUGAUGUCAAACCUUUGGAAGAGAGUUAACAAUUCACUGUCCAGCACAAAAUAUACCAAAUGCUUGUUGAAUGAAUUAACAAUGAACAAACUGAAAAUGAAUGAAUGAAUGGAUAGUCACCUACUUGUUGUUUCCUAGCUGGUUAGUGAUUUGCUAGAUUGAGAAUUCAGUUACAGUUUGUCAAGUUCCAAAAUUUGUAUUGAUAAGGAUUUUGAGACCAAUUGCAGUCAUUCAGAAUUAUUCAGAGUCCCAGCUUUGCUAAAGAUGUUCUACCUCAAUGCAAAGUAUUUAAAAAUUUAAAAUAUAGAUAAGAAGCCAUUCCUUCUACAUUUAAUGAAAGAUAUUGGGACAACAGGCAGCAAUUAUACAAUUGGUUGGCAAUUAUACAGUAGAAUUCAGUGAUGGUGCCAGGUAUCCCGCCCUCUGAUAAAUCAAAGCAGACAAGAUUCAACCCAAUUAUGUGCCACAUAAAUUGUUUUUGAUAUGCUGAAAGAUCUUUUUGUGGGAAGGUCAGAGUCUGAAACACAAGCAGAUAGGUUCUCCUGCUGAAGAGAACAGUCGCAGUAAAAACACAGGGACGGCAGGGUGGGACUUAGAAAUCUGGCAUUAAAAAGUAUCCGCAAGAAACCAACAAUCUUACCAUAAAGGGACAGAGAACAAGUGCAACCUGCGAAACUCAGUAAAGGGGAGAGUCUGGAAUCUGCCACCGGGACAUUGCUACCUGCUCCGUGCAAUUUAUUAGUCAUGGAUAUAAAUAGAAUUAUGGUUUUGAAAUAAGAGGUCAGUAUUACGCUGGUGAUGACAUCGUUGCUUUCUUCUGUGUCGCUUAUUUUCAAAGAGUAAAAGGAAAAUAAAAAACCAGAGGGCUAUUUAAAACAAGAAACAAAAAACAGAGAAUAUAAACACGAACAACCACUUGGGGGCGCAUUAACUAAACUGCUCCACCUUCCUUUAUGAUGACUGAAAGCCCAGAGCCGCAGCGGCUCGUUGGUCUAGGGGUAUGAUUCUCGCUUAGGGUGCGAGAGGUCCCGGGUUC